CUAUUAGAGGAGAUUUUAGAAACUAGAAGACACUCCCCCAAGGACUGCCGAACCAGGACUAACCCUAAUCCUAACCCUAACGCUAACACUAACACUAACACUAACUCUCAACCUAACUCAACAGCACACAACCCAGGAUCACCACACCUGCCUGAAGAAAGUCCUCUCCUUCUGAGCCCUGUACCUGGACAAAGACCUCAGCUCCAGGGUCCUGAGCUUGCACAACAAACCAUCCCUGUGAAAUCUAUAAUCAAAACAGCAAUUGAACUCCUGCCUAAGAUUUUGCCCCAGCUUCCAAGAUUUGUUAUUGUCCGCAAUAGAAAGCAAGCCCAAUAUCCUGGAGAACAGGACCAGCAGGGAAUUUGAUCAGGAGUUGCAGAAGCUUCUGUUCUGAGCACAGAUCUGGAACUUGCUUAUGGGUCUCAGAUGUGGCGCACUCUGUGAUCAUUCCGUAUGACACGGAAGCCUGCAGAACACUUU
RNAcentral lists this long non-coding RNA (480 nucleotides) under Cavia porcellus (domestic guinea pig). RNAcentral describes it as "lncRNA (ENSCPOG00000034889.1)". The record is from RNAcentral. Lineage: Eukaryota; Metazoa; Chordata; Mammalia; Rodentia; Caviidae.